CUUAGCGGCGGACGGGUGAGUAACGCGUGGGUAACCUGCCUCAUACAGGGGGAUAACAGUUAGAAAUGACUGCUAAUACCGCAUAAGCGCACAGGACCGCAUGGUCCGGUGUGAAAAACUCCGGUGGUAUGAGAUGGACCCGCGUCUGAUUAGCUGGUUGGCGGGGUAACGGCCCACCAAGGCGACGAUCAGUAGCCGACCUGAGAGGGUGGCCGGCCACAUUGGGACUGAGACACGGCCCAAACUCCUACGGAAGGCAGCAG
RNAcentral lists this ribosomal RNA (263 nucleotides) under uncultured bacterium. Its description in RNAcentral is "partial 16S ribosomal RNA". It matches the Rfam family "Bacterial small subunit ribosomal RNA", at positions 91 to 354 of the family's 1533-position model. The record is from RNAcentral.